AGCCAUCAGGAAUAGGGGGACUUUU
Molecule: non-coding RNA, 25 nt
Filed under: Cricetulus griseus (Chinese hamster)
Lineage: Eukaryota; Metazoa; Chordata; Mammalia; Rodentia; Cricetidae
Source: RNAcentral